UAUUAGGGUGGCAGAGCCAGGAAAUUGCGUAAGAUUUAAAACCUUGUCCCCAGAGGUUCAAAUCCUCUCCCUAAUAG
This 77-nucleotide transfer RNA is filed under the name Microtus agrestis (short-tailed field vole). RNAcentral's name for it is "tRNA-Leu". It matches the Rfam family "tRNA". Rfam says of the family: Transfer RNA (tRNA) molecules are approximately 80 nucleotides in length. Their secondary structure includes four short double-helical elements and three loops (D, anti-codon, and T loops). Lineage: Eukaryota; Metazoa; Chordata; Mammalia; Rodentia; Cricetidae. The record is from RNAcentral.